RNAcentral lists this ribosomal RNA (459 nucleotides) under uncultured bacterium. RNAcentral describes it as "bacterial SSU rRNA". It matches the Rfam family "Bacterial small subunit ribosomal RNA", at positions 28 to 507 of the family's 1533-position model. The record is from RNAcentral.
GAUGAACGUUGGCGGCGUGCCUAAUACAUGCAAGUCGAACGAAGACUGUAGUAAUACUGUCUUAGUGGCGAACGGGUGAGUAACGCGUGGGUGACCUGCCCCGAAGUGUGGGAUAACAGUCCGAAAGGAUUGCUAAUACUGCAUAAUAUCCAAGAGAUUAGAUGCUUUUGGAUUAAAGGAGUAAUUCGCUUCGGGAGGGGCCCGCGUCCCAUCAGCUAGUUGGUAAGGUAAUGGCUUACCAAGGCGAUGACGGGUAGGGGACCUGAGAGGGUGGCCCCCCACAAUGGAACUGAAACACGGUCCAUACACCUACGGGUGGCAGCAGUAGGGAAUAUUAGUAAUGGGCGAAAGCCUGAACUAGCAACGCCGCGUGUGCGAAGAAGGCCUUCGGGUCGUAAAGCACUUUUUGAGAGGAUGAGGAAGGCGGUACUCUCAGAAUAAGUCUCGGCUAACUACGUG